AUUGAACGCUGGCGGCAUGCUUUACACAUGCAAGUCGAACGGUAACAGGCCGCAAGGUGCUGACGAGUGGCGAACGGGUGAGUAAUGCAUCGGAACGUGCCCAGUCGUGGGGGAUAACUACUCGAAAGAGUAGCUAAUACCGCAUACGAUCUAUGGAUGAAAGCGGGGGACCGUAAGGCCUCGCGCGAUUGGAGCGGCCGAUGUCAGAUUCGGUAGUUGGUGGGGUAAAGGCUCACCAAGCCAACGAUCUGUAGCUGGUCUGAGAGGACGACCAGCCACACUGGGACUGAGACACGGCCCAGACUCCUACGGGAGGCAGCAGUGGGGAAUUUUGGACAAUGGGCGCAAGCCUGAUCCAGCAAUGCCGCGUGCAGGAAGAAGGCCUUCGGGUUGUAAACUGCUUUUGUACGGAACGAAACGGCUCUGGUUAAUACCCGGGGCUAAUGACGGUACCGGAAGAAUAAGCACCGGCUAACUACGUG
This 482-nucleotide ribosomal RNA is filed under the name uncultured bacterium. Its description in RNAcentral is "partial 16S ribosomal RNA". It matches the Rfam family "Bacterial small subunit ribosomal RNA", at positions 30 to 507 of the family's 1533-position model. The record is from RNAcentral.